This 207-nucleotide long non-coding RNA is filed under the name Lathyrus oleraceus (garden pea). RNAcentral describes it as "Pisum sativum (pea) long non-coding RNA (PSAT_LNC002613)". Lineage: Eukaryota; Viridiplantae; Streptophyta; Magnoliopsida; Fabales; Fabaceae. The record is from RNAcentral.
UUAAACAAUUAAAAAUAUUCACAAAAUCAAUUAAAUCAUGAAAAAUAUUAAUAAUGAUCCAAAAAAUAAUUUUAAUUCAGAAAGUGAAAGAGGAUUUUAUUUUAAAAAAAUUGGUGAAACUCUUAUAUUUUUUGGAUCAAUAUUAUAUUUAAUAUGAAUUAAUGAAAAUAAAACAAAUAAAAUGAAAAUCAAUUAAUCUGAAGAAAA